This 784-nucleotide ribosomal RNA is filed under the name uncultured Candidatus Nitrosopumilus sp. RNAcentral's name for it is "bacterial SSU rRNA". It matches the Rfam family "Archaeal small subunit ribosomal RNA", at positions 55 to 845 of the family's 1478-position model. Lineage: Archaea; Thermoproteati; Nitrososphaerota; Nitrososphaeria; Nitrosopumilales; Nitrosopumilaceae. The record is from RNAcentral.
GAGUCUUUGCAGUAAUGCAAGGCAUACGGCUCAGUAACACGUAGUCAACUUACCCUAUGGACGAGGAUAAUCUCGGGAAACUGAGCAUAAUACUCGAUAGAUCAUAAUGCCUGGAAUGGUUUAUGGUUGAAACGAUUCGUCGCCAUAGGAUGGGACUGCGGCCUAUCAGCUUGUUGGUGAGGUAAUGGCCCACCAAGGCGAUUACAGGUACGGGCUCUGAGAGGAGAAGCCCGGAGAUGGGUACUGAGACAAGGACCCAGGCCCUAUGGGGCGCAGCAGGCGAGAAAACUUUGCAAUGUGCGAAAGCACGACAAGGUUAAUCCGAGUGAUUUCUGCUAAAGAAAUCUUUUGCAAGUCAUAAAACCACUAGUGAAUAAGGGGUGGGCAAGUUCUGGUGUCAGCCGCCGCGGUAAAACCAGCACCUCAAGUGGUCAGGAGGAUUAUUGGGCCUAAAGCAUCCGUAGCCGGCUCUGUAAGUUUUCGGUUAAAUCCACAUGCUUAACAUGUGGGCUGCCGGAGAUACUGCAAAACUAGGGAGUGGGAGAGGUAGACGGUACUUGGUAGGAAGGGGUAAAAUCCUUUGAUCUAUUGAUGACCACCUGUGGCGAAGGCGGUCUACCAGAACACGUUCGACGGUGAGGGAUGAAAGCUGGGGGAGCAAACCGGAUUAGAUACCCGGGUAGUCCCAGCUGUAAACGAUGCAGACUCGGUGAUGCAUUGGUUUAUUGCCAGUGCAGUGCCGCAGGGAAGCCGUUAAGUCUGCCGCCUGGGAAGUACGUACGCA